Molecule: unclassified non-coding RNA, 432 nt
Filed under: soil metagenome
Description: partial contains 5.8S ribosomal RNA, internal transcribed spacer 2, and large subunit ribosomal RNA
Rfam family: 5.8S ribosomal RNA (bases 1-120)
Source: RNAcentral
GAUGAAGAACGUAGCGAAAUGCGAUACGUAAUGUGAAUUGCAGAAUUCAGUGAAUCAUCGAAUCUUUGAACGCAUAUUGCGCUCUCUGGUAUUCCGGAGAGCAUGCUUGUUUGAGUAUCAGUAAACACCUCAACUUCCAUAUCUUUUUUGAAAUGGGAGUUGGACUUGAGUGAUCCCAACGCUUUUCCUCACCGAAAAGUGGCGGGUUACUUGAAAUGCAGGUGCAGCUGGACUUUUCUCUGAGCUAUAAGCAUAUCUAUUUAGUCUGCCUAAAAAACAGAUUAUUACCUUUGCUGCAGCUACAUAAAGGAGAUUAGUUCUUGUGCUGACUGAUGCAGGAUUCACAAAGACAGGCUUCGGCCGACUUUGUAAACUCGAUCUCAAAUCAAGUAAGACUACCCGCUGAACUUAAGCAUAUCAAUAAGCGGAGGA